AACACGUGGGUAAUCCAUCCCUCGGUGGGGGACAACCACUGGAAACGGUGGCUAAUACCGCAUCCGAUCUCGCGGUCUUCGGGCUGCGAGAAGAAAGACUUCGGUCGCCGAAGGUCGAGCCCGCGUCCCAUCAUGCUUGUUGGUGAGGUAAUGGCUCACCAAGGCUUAGACGGGUAGCUGGUCUGAGAGGAUGAUCAGCCACACUGGGACUGAGACACGGCCCAG
Molecule: ribosomal RNA, 225 nt
Filed under: uncultured bacterium
Lineage: Bacteria
Description: partial 16S ribosomal RNA
Rfam family: Bacterial small subunit ribosomal RNA
Source: RNAcentral